This 429-nucleotide ribosomal RNA is filed under the name Bacteroidota bacterium. RNAcentral's name for it is "Bacteroidetes bacterium partial 16S ribosomal RNA". It matches the Rfam family "Bacterial small subunit ribosomal RNA", at positions 355 to 776 of the family's 1533-position model. Lineage: Bacteria; Pseudomonadati; Bacteroidota. The record is from RNAcentral.
UAGGGAAUCUUCCGCAAUGGACGCAAGUCUGACGGAGCAACGCCGCGUGAGUGAAGAAGGAUUUCGGUUCGUAAAACUCUGUUGUUAGAGAAGAACAGCGCAUAGAGUAACUGUUAUGCGUGUGACGGUAUCUAACCAGAAAGCCACGGCUAACUACGUGCCAGCAGCCGCGGUAAUACGUAGGUGGCAAGCGUUGUCCGGAUUUAUUGGGCGUAAAGCGAGCGCAGGCGGUCAAUUAAGUCUGAUGUGAAAGCCACCGGCUCAACCGGGGAGGGUCAUUGGAAACUGGUUGACUUGAGUGCAGAAGAGGAGAGUGGAAUUCCAUGUGUAGCGGUGAAAUGCGUAGAUAUAUGGAGGAACACCAGUGGCGAAGGCGACUAUCUGGUCUGUAACUGACGCUGAGGCUCGAAAGCGUGGGUAGCAAACAGG